Molecule: ribosomal RNA, 533 nt
Filed under: Garcorops madagascar
Lineage: Eukaryota; Metazoa; Arthropoda; Arachnida; Araneae; Selenopidae
Description: partial 16S ribosomal RNA
Rfam family: Archaeal large subunit ribosomal RNA (bases 99-400)
Source: RNAcentral
UUUAAAUGAAGACCAGAACAAAAGAUUUAACGUUUUAAUUAAUUUCUUUAUUUAAAUUAUUCAAAUUUUUCUUAAAUGUAAAAAGACAUUUAUAAAAAAAAAAGACGACAAGACCCUAUUGAACUUAACUAAAGUUAAACUGGGGCAGUUAGUUAAUUAUUACUUUAAUCUCUAAAAAUUAAACAAACUGAUCCAAUAAUAUUGACAUUUGAUCAAGUUACCAUAGGGAUAACAGCGUAAUAUUUAUUUAAAGCCCUUAUAUAAAUAACAGUUUACGACCUCGAUGUUGAAUUAAUAACCUAACUAAAGCAAAAAAUAAUUAAGGAAGUCUGUUCGACUUUUAAAAAAUUACAUGAUUUGAGUUCAGACCGGUGAUAAGCCAGGUCGGUUUCUAUCUUUUAAUAAAUUUUUACAGUACGAAAGGACCUAAAAAACUAAUUUAAUUAUUUAAUUGGCAGAUUAAUGCAUUAGAAUUAGAAUCUAAUAAAACUAAUAUAUUAUUUAUUAUAUCAUAUCUAAUAAUUACCAUUAGU